GACGAACGCUGGCGGCGUGCUUAACACAUGCAAGUCGAACGGAGAGGCCCUGCGUUUGUGGGGUGCUCGAGUGGCGAACGGGUGAGUGAAACAUGAGUAAACUGCCCUUGACUUUGGGAUAACUUCCGGGGACUGGGGCUAAUACAGGGUAGAAGACACUGCUGCAUGUGGGGGGGUGGAAAGUUUUGCUGGUUGGGGAUGGACUCGCGGCCUAUCAGCUUGUUGGUGGGGUAGUGGCUUACCAAGGCGACGACGGGUAGCCGGCCUGAGAGGGUGACCGGCCACACUGGGACUGAGACACGGCCCAGACUCCUACGGGAGGCAGCAGUGGGGAAUAUUGCACAAUGGGCGGAAGCCUGAUGCAGCGACGCCGCGUGAGGGAUGACGGCCUUCGGGUUGUAAACCUCUUUCAGCACGGAAGAAGCGAGAGUGACGGUACGUGCAGAAGAAGCGCCGGCUAACUACGUG
RNAcentral lists this ribosomal RNA (468 nucleotides) under uncultured bacterium. RNAcentral describes it as "partial 16S ribosomal RNA". It matches the Rfam family "Bacterial small subunit ribosomal RNA", at positions 28 to 507 of the family's 1533-position model. The record is from RNAcentral.